Molecule: ribosomal RNA, 1763 nt
Filed under: Staphylococcus aureus
Lineage: Bacteria; Bacillati; Bacillota; Bacilli; Caryophanales; Staphylococcaceae
Description: bacterial LSU rRNA
Rfam family: Bacterial large subunit ribosomal RNA
Source: RNAcentral
UUAAGUUAUUAAGGGCGCACGGUGGAUGCCUUGGCACUAGAAGCCGAUGAAGGACGUUACUAACGACGAUAUGCUUUGGGGAGCUGUAAGUAAGCUUUGAUCCAGAGAUUUCCGAAUGGGGAAACCCAGCAUGAGUUAUGUCAUGUUAUCGAUAUGUGAAUACAUAGCAUAUCAGAAGGCACACCCGGAGAACUGAAACAUCUUAGUACCCGGAGGAAGAGAAAGAAAAUUCGAUUCCCUUAGUAGCGGCGAGCGAAACGGGAAGAGCCCAAACCAACAAGCUUGCUUGUUGGGGUUGUAGGACACUCUAUACGGAGUUACAAAGGACGACAUUAGACGAAUCAUCUGGAAAGAUGAAUCAAAGAAGGUAAUAAUCCUGUAGUCGAAAAUGUUGUCUCUCUUGAGUGGAUCCUGAGUACGACGGAGCACGUGAAAUUCCGUCGGAAUCUGGGAGGACCAUCUCCUAAGGCUAAAUACUCUCUAGUGACCGAUAGUGAACCAGUACCGUGAGGGAAAGGUGAAAAGCACCCCGGAAGGGGAGUGAAAUAGAACCUGAAACCGUGUGCUUACAAGUAGUCAGAGCCCGUUAAUGGGUGAUGGCGUGCCUUUUGUAGAAUGAACCGGCGAGUUACGAUUUGAUGCAAGGUUAAGCAGUAAAUGUGGAGCCGUAGCGAAAGCGAGUCUGAAUAGGGCGUUUAGUAUUUGGUCGUAGACCCGAAACCAGGUGAUCUACCCUUGGUCAGGUUGAAGUUCAGGUAACACUGAAUGGAGGACCGAACCGACUUACGUUGAAAAGUGAGCGGAUGAACUGAGGGUAGCGGAGAAAUUCCAAUCGAACCUGGAGAUAGCUGGUUCUCUCCGAAAUAGCUUUAGGGCUAGCCUCAAGUGAUGAUUAUUGGAGGUAGAGCACUGUUUGGACGAGGGGCCCCUCUCGGGUUACCGAAUUCAGACAAACUCCGAAUGCCAAUUAAUUUAACUUGGGAGUCAGAACAUGGGUGAUAAGGUCCGUGUUCGAAAGGGAAACAGCCCAGACCACCAGCUAAGGUCCCAAAAUAUAUGUUAAGUGGAAAAGGAUGUGGCGUUGCCCAGACAACUAGGAUGUUGGCUUAGAAGCAGCCAUCAUUUAAAGAGUGCGUAAUAGCUCACUAGUCGAGUGACACUGCGCCGAAAAUGUACCGGGGCUAAACAUAUUACCGAAGCUGUGGAUUGUCCUUUGGACAAUGGUAGGAGAGCGUUCUAAGGGCGUUGAAGCAUGAUCGUAAGGACAUGUGGAGCGCUUAGAAGUGAGAAUGCCGGUGUGAGUAGCGAAAGACGGGUGAGAAUCCCGUCCACCGAUUGACUAAGGUUUCCAGAGGAAGGCUCGUCCGCUCUGGGUUAGUCGGGUCCUAAGCUGAGGCCGACAGGCGUAGGCGAUGGAUAACAGGUUGAUAUUCCUGUACCACCUAUAAUCGUUUUAAUCGAUGGGGGGACGCAGUAGGAUAGGCGAAGCGUGCGAUUGGAUUGCACGUCUAAGCAGUAAGGCUGAGUAUUAGGCAAAUCCGGUACUCGUUAAGGCUGAGCUGUGAUGGGGAGAAGACAUUGUGUCUUCGAGUCGUUGAUUUCACACUGCCGAGAAAAGCCUCUAGAUAGAAAAUAGGUGCCCGUACCGCAAACCGACACAGGUAGUCAAGAUGAGAAUUCUAAGGUGAGCGAGCGAACUCUCGUUAAGGAACUCGGCAAAAUGACCCCGUAACUUCGGGAGAAGGGGUGCUCUUUAGGGUUAA